Molecule: ribosomal RNA, 309 nt
Filed under: Triticum aestivum (bread wheat)
Lineage: Eukaryota; Viridiplantae; Streptophyta; Magnoliopsida; Poales; Poaceae
Description: partial small subunit ribosomal RNA
Source: RNAcentral
AUGGGUGGAGGCGUCAAUAGGAUGAAGCAACAUAUUGGGCAGGUAAAGGGAAGCAUGACAAGUUGCAAUGUAGCCACACCAGAUCAGCAGAAAAGGUGUAAGGAUGCUUAUGAGGCACCACAAAAGAAGAAGAAGAAGCUGAAAGAAAAACAUGAUGAAGAAGUACGUGCUGAGGUUGUCAUUCAAGUUGAUGAUGACAAUAACGAGGAAGAGCUGCAUGCAAUUGGAGAAGGUGAAGCUCGCAAGUCAGGGCCUAUUGAUAAAUAUGUGAUGCCAAUUGAUCCUUCCAUCCCAUUGAAGAAGUUCUAA